GCAAUGCCGCGUGUGUGAAGAAGGCCUCUCGGGUUGUAAAGCACUUUUGUCCGGAAAGAAAUCCUUGGCUCUAAUACAGUCGGGGGAUGACGGUACCGGAAGAAUAAGCACCGGCUAACUACGUGCCAGCAGCCGCGGUAAUACGUAGGGUGCGAGCGUUAAUCGGAAUUACUGGGCGUAAAGCGUGCGCAGGCGGUUUGCUAAGACCGAUGUGAAAUCCCCGGGCUCAACCUGGGAACUGCAUUGGUGACUGGCAGGCUAGAGUAUGGCAGAGGGGGGUAGAAUUCCACGUGUAGCAGUGAAAUGCGUAGAGAUGUGGAGGAAUACCGAUGGCGAAGGCAGCCCCCUGGGCCAAUACUGACGCUCAUGCACGAAAGCGUGGGGAGCAAACAGGAUUAGAUACCCUGGUAGUCCACGCCCUAAACGAUGUCAACUAGUUGUUGGGGAUUCAUUUCCUUAGUAACGUAGCUAACGCGUGAAGUUGACCGCCUGGGGAGUACGGUCGCAAGAUUAAAACUCAAAGGAAUUGACGGGGACCCGCACAAGCGGUGGAUGAUGUGGAUUAAUUCGAUGCAACGCGAAAAACCUUACCUACCCUUGACAUGGUCGGAAUCCUGCUG
This 620-nucleotide ribosomal RNA is filed under the name Burkholderia sp. IBa215. Its description in RNAcentral is "bacterial SSU rRNA". It matches the Rfam family "Bacterial small subunit ribosomal RNA", at positions 391 to 1003 of the family's 1533-position model. The record is from RNAcentral. Lineage: Bacteria; Pseudomonadati; Pseudomonadota; Betaproteobacteria; Burkholderiales; Burkholderiaceae. RNAcentral also lists the same sequence under 1 other name.